This 421-nucleotide ribosomal RNA is filed under the name uncultured bacterium. Its description in RNAcentral is "bacterial SSU rRNA". It matches the Rfam family "Bacterial small subunit ribosomal RNA", at positions 355 to 774 of the family's 1533-position model. The record is from RNAcentral.
UAGGGAAUAUUGGACAAUGGGUGCGAGCCUGAUCCAGCUAUGCUGCGUGCAGGAAGAAGGCUUUCUGAGUUGUAAACUGCUUUUGUCAGAGGAUAAAAAGCCCAUGCGUGGGAAAUUGAAGGUACCUGGUGAAUAAGCCACGGCUAACUACGUGCCAGCAGACGCGGUAAUACGCAGGUGGCAAGUGUUGUCCGGAUUUAUUGGGUUUAAAGGGUGCGUAGGCGGUUUUAUAAGUCAGUGGUGAAAUCCGGCAGCUCAACUGUCGAUGUGCCAUUGAUACUGUAUAACUUGAGUACUGAUGAAGUAGGCGGAAUUGACGGUGUAGCGGUGAUAUGCUUUGAUAUCAUCAAGAACACCGAUAGCGACAGCAGCUUACUAAGCAGUAACUGACGCUGCGGCACAAAAGUGUGAGGAUCAAGCA